AACGAACGCUGGCGGCAUGCCUAACACAUGCAAGUCGAACGAGACCUUCGGGUCUAGUGGCGCACGGGUGCGUAACGCGUGGGAAUCUGCCCUUGGGUUCGGAAUAACAGUUGGAAACGACUGCUAAUACCGGAUGAUGUCUUCGGACCAAAGAUUUAUCGCCCAGGGAUGAGCCCGCGUAGGAUUAGCUUGUUGGUGAGGUAAAGGCUCACCAAGGCGACGAUCCUUAGCUGGCUGAGAGGAUGAUCAGCCACACUGGGACUGAGACACGGCCCAGACUCCUACGGGAGGCAGCAGUGGGGAAUAUUGGACAAUGGGCGAAAGCCUGAUCCAGCAAUGCCGCGUGAGUGAUGAAGGCCUUAGGGUUGUAAAGCUCUUUUACCCGGGAUGAUAAUGACAGUACCGGGAGAAUAAGCUCCGGCUAACUCCGUGCCAGCCGCCGCGGUAAC
This 449-nucleotide ribosomal RNA is filed under the name uncultured bacterium. Its description in RNAcentral is "bacterial SSU rRNA". It matches the Rfam family "Bacterial small subunit ribosomal RNA", at positions 29 to 524 of the family's 1533-position model. The record is from RNAcentral.